Tribolium castaneum (red flour beetle) is the source of this 480-nucleotide long non-coding RNA. RefSeq lists it as uncharacterized. The transcript has 5 exons. Lineage: Eukaryota; Metazoa; Arthropoda; Insecta; Coleoptera; Tenebrionidae. The record is from RefSeq and is a predicted model, not a curated record.
GCGUUACGUUGGCAAUGGUGCUAUUUUCCGGUGAGUUUUUGUCUGGUUCGUUCGUUUACAAUGUUUAUCCGCAAAAAUCUUGCAAAAGAAAUGCAAUCUACUGAUUUUACACAACUAGAAAUUAAGAAAAUGAAGAUUUCGUGAAAAUGAAGUGGAAAAAAUCAUGACACUUAGUGCAUUCAGAUUGUUCCUAAAGUGAGGCCUGAACAAAAGAGUUGUCAACUACUAUGAUUCCAGCUUAGGCCUAGACGUUCAUUGACGAUGAGGAAAAAUCAAACUGUACUACAAAACUCUGAGGACACAACUAAUAAAUCUUCUCUUUACUUUUUUUCUUAUAAUUAUAAUCCUUGGCGAUAUCGAUGUAUUCCCUUGGGUAUAUGUACUCCAAAAACUGCAACAUUAGAUAACACAAAGAGACCGCCAGUAAAAAUGGCCAAACACCACUUGUUUUGUAACUAAAAUAAAAACAGAAAAGUUAAA